Molecule: ribosomal RNA, 1528 nt
Filed under: Klebsiella ornithinolytica
Lineage: Bacteria; Pseudomonadati; Pseudomonadota; Gammaproteobacteria; Enterobacterales; Enterobacteriaceae
Description: bacterial SSU rRNA
Rfam family: Bacterial small subunit ribosomal RNA
Source: RNAcentral
AGAGUUUGAUCAUGGCUCAGAUUGAACGCUGGCGGCAGGCCUAACACAUGCAAGUCGAGCGGUAGCACAGAGAGCUUGCUCUCGGGUGACGAGCGGCGGACGGGUGAGUAAUGUCUGGGAAACUGCCUGAUGGAGGGGGAUAACUACUGGAAACGGUAGCUAAUACCGCAUAACGUCGCAAGACCAAAGUGGGGGACCUUCGGGCCUCAUGCCAUCAGAUGUGCCCAGAUGGGAUUAGCUAGUAGGUGGGGUAAUGGCUCACCUAGGCGACGAUCCCUAGCUGGUCUGAGAGGAUGACCAGCCACACUGGAACUGAGACACGGUCCAGACUCCUACGGGAGGCAGCAGUGGGGAAUAUUGCACAAUGGGCGCAAGCCUGAUGCAGCCAUGCCGCGUGUAUGAAGAAGGCCUUCGGGUUGUAAAGUACUUUCAGCGAGGAGGAAGGCGUUAAGGUUAAUAACCUUAGCGAUUGACGUUACUCGCAGAAGAAGCACCGGCUAACUCCGUGCCAGCAGCCGCGGUAAUACGGAGGGUGCAAGCGUUAAUCGGAAUUACUGGGCGUAAAGCGCACGCAGGCGGUCUGUUAAGUCAGAUGUGAAAUCCCCGGGCUCAACCUGGGAACUGCAUUUGAAACUGGCAGGCUUGAGUCUUGUAGAGGGGGGUAGAAUUCCAGGUGUAGCGGUGAAAUGCGUAGAGAUCUGGAGGAAUACCGGUGGCGAAGGCGGCCCCCUGGACAAAGACUGACGCUCAGGUGCGAAAGCGUGGGGAGCAAACAGGAUUAGAUACCCUGGUAGUCCACGCUGUAAACGAUGUCGACUUGGAGGUUGUUCCCUUGAGGAGUGGCUUCCGGAGCUAACGCGUUAAGUCGACCGCCUGGGGAGUACGGCCGCAAGGUUAAAACUCAAAUGAAUUGACGGGGGCCCGCACAAGCGGUGGAGCAUGUGGUUUAAUUCGAUGCAACGCGAAGAACCUUACCUACUCUUGACAUCCAGAGAACUUAGCAGAGAUGCUUUGGUGCCUUCGGGAACUCUGAGACAGGUGCUGCAUGGCUGUCGUCAGCUCGUGUUGUGAAAUGUUGGGUUAAGUCCCGCAACGAGCGCAACCCUUAUCCUUUGUUGCCAGCGGUCCGGCCGGGAACUCAAAGGAGACUGCCAGUGAUAAACUGGAGGAAGGUGGGGAUGACGUCAAGUCAUCAUGGCCCUUACGAGUAGGGCUACACACGUGCUACAAUGGCAUAUACAAAGAGAAGCGACCUCGCGAGAGCAAGCGGACCUCAUAAAGUAUGUCGUAGUCCGGAUUGGAGUCUGCAACUCGACUCCAUGAAGUCGGAAUCGCUAGUAAUCGUAGAUCAGAAUGCUACGGUGAAUACGUUCCCGGGCCUUGUACACACCGCCCGUCACACCAUGGGAGUGGGUUGCAAAAGAAGUAGGUAGCUUAACCUUCGGGAGGGCGCUUACCACUUUGUGAUUCAUGACUGGGGUGAAGUCGUAACAAGGUAACCGUAGGGGAACCUGCGGUUGGAUCACCU